AUAAAAAACCAACGCCCUUCGGGGCUCCUUGGUGAAUCAUAAUAACUAAGCGAAUCGCAUGGCCUUGCGCCGGCGAUGGUUCAUUCAAAUUUCUGCCCUAUCAACUUUCGAUGGUAAGAUAGUGGCUUACCAUGGUGGCAACGGGUAACGGGGAAUUAGGGUUCGAUUCCGGAGAGGGAGCCUGAGAAACGGCUACCACAUCCAAGGAAGGCAGCAGGCGCGCAAAUUACCCAAUCCCGACACGGGGAGGUAGUGACAAUAAAUACUGGUACGGGGCUCUUUUGGGUCUCGUAAUUGGAAUGAGUACAAUCUAAAUCCCUUAACGAGGAACAAUUGGAGGGCAAGUCUGGUGCCAGCAGCCGCGGUAAUUCCAGCUCCAAUAGCGUAUAUUAAAGUUGUUGCAGUUAAAAAGCUCGUAGUUGAACCUUGGGUCUGGCUGACCGGUCCGCCUCACCGCGAGUACUGGUUCGGCUGGGCCUUUCCUUCUGGGGAACCUCAUGGCCUUCACUGGCUGUGG
RNAcentral lists this ribosomal RNA (517 nucleotides) under uncultured fungus. RNAcentral describes it as "SSU rRNA". It matches the Rfam family "Eukaryotic small subunit ribosomal RNA", at positions 214 to 731 of the family's 1831-position model. The record is from RNAcentral. Lineage: Eukaryota; Fungi.